CCUACGGGUGACAGCAGUGAGGAAUAUUGGGCAAUGGACGAGAGUCUGAACCAGCCAAGUAGCGUGAAGGAUGACUGCCCGAGGGGUGGUAAACUUCGUUUAUAUGGGAAUAAAAUGUUCCACGUGUGGGAUUUUGUAUGUACCAUAUGAAUAAGGAUCGGCUAACUCCGUGCCAGCAGCCGCGGUAAUACGGAGGAUCCGAGCGUUAUCCGGAUUUAUUGGGUUUAAAGGGAGCGUAGGUGGAUUGUUAAGUCAGUUGUUAAAGUUUGCGGCUCAACCGUAAAAUUGCAGUUUCAACUGGCAGUCUUGAGUACAUUAGAGGUGGGCGGAAUUCGUGUUGUAGCGGU
Molecule: ribosomal RNA, 347 nt
Filed under: uncultured bacterium
Lineage: Bacteria
Description: partial 16S ribosomal RNA
Rfam family: Bacterial small subunit ribosomal RNA
Source: RNAcentral